GAUGAACGCUGGCGGCGUGCCUAAUACAUGCAAGUCGAACGCUGAAGGAGGAGCUUGCUCUUCUGGAUGAGUUGCGAACGGGUGAGUAACGCGUAGGUAACCUGCCUGGUAGCGGGGGAUAACUAUUGGAAACGAUAGCUAAUACCGCAUGGCAACAGUUAUUGCAUGAUAACUGUUUAAAAGGGGCAACUGCUCCACUACCAGAUGGACCUGCGUUGUAUUAGCUAGUUGGUGAGGUAACGGCUCACCAAGGCGACGAUACAUAGCCGACCUGAGAGGGUGAUCGGCCACACUGGGACUGAGACACGGCCCAGACUCCUACGGGAGGCAGCAGUAGGGAAUCUUCGGCAAUGGACGGAAGUCUGACCGAGCAACGCCGCGUGAGUGAAGAAGGUUUUCGGAUCGUAAAGCUCUGUUGUAAGAGAAGAACGAGUGUGAGAGUGGAAAGUUCACACUGUGACGGUAUCUUACCAGAAAGAGACGGCUAACUACGUG
Molecule: ribosomal RNA, 495 nt
Filed under: uncultured bacterium
Lineage: Bacteria
Description: partial 16S ribosomal RNA
Rfam family: Bacterial small subunit ribosomal RNA
Source: RNAcentral